This 839-nucleotide long non-coding RNA is filed under the name Phascolarctos cinereus (koala). RNAcentral's name for it is "lncRNA (ENSPCIG00000009958.2)". The record is from RNAcentral. Lineage: Eukaryota; Metazoa; Chordata; Mammalia; Diprotodontia; Phascolarctidae.
GAAUCUGGUGGCAGAGUGAUGGGGGAGGAGGAGCUGUCAGAGAUGACCAGCCUGGUGGUUGGUGGCCCAGGUGAAUAAGAGCCCUGGGGUGGAGUUUGGAGGCCUGGGAGGGGUCUAGGGCAGGAGAGGGCUUAUCUCUGGGAACAAGGAAUUGCAGGUGAUGGAGGGCAGGGCUUGGGGAGGAGAGGGAGACAGGGUCCUGAGCUCCUGGCCCAGGCCUCAGAGGCUGGGCAUAGGCUGGAAGGACCCUCCCAGAAUGGGGUGGCUGAAAACAGGAACUUGUGCUGAGAUCUCUCUGCCCUUGGAAUUGGGAUCUCCCUGCCUUCCUGCCUCACAGCUGAAAUCUCUGCUGACUUCUCUUGGACCUGAGAUCUCUGUCUUCCAGACACCCGCUCUGUGGGGCACAUCCCAAGGAGGUCUCAGCCAGCCCCUUGCAGAUCUGCUGCCUGUUCAGGCCAUUGGAUCUCAUCCUCCUUCUCUGAACCUUUGGCCAUGCUCCUGCCCUGGGAUCCUUCUCCCUCCCCACCUCAGUGUGCAGAAGACCAAGGCCUGAACAAGCAGGGAGGCUGGAGCCAGAGGGAAUGGCCCCUGGGAGCUGCAGAUCCCCAGCCAAGGUGAGUGCACCCUGCCCUCAGACUUGACCCACAUCAGCCAAACAGGGCAUUUCCAGAGAAAAAGAGGAUUGUCUAGGAGGCUGGCCAUCCCCUACUUAUGGAUUAUUUCUUUACAAAAAUAGGCAGGGAAUUGAAAACAGUAGUAACAACACUGGCCUGCUCUUUCCUGUGUUUUGAACUAAUUCUCAGCAUUUUGGCAUCACAAGCAGGAACUACUCCCUUCCC